AAGGCGUUUACUUCCACACUAGGUCUAUGGGUAAUACCUUCCUUUUACACAGUCUAUGGACUCAUCACUCAUCAAACUCAGAUCAUUGUGCUCGAAACGUCACACUGGUGAUAUCCAAAUAAAUUGCCUGCAUUGGGAACUGCAGUCAUGGAUGAGACACCACAGUGUGGCGACUCUGGAGAAGACGUUAAUACGAGCUUGAAGCAAUCAGAGUGCAUCACGAGCCAGCCGACAGCCGAUACGGGUCCACAUCUCAACACAGACUCCUGCAUUGAAAUGUGCUGCAAUUGUGAAGCCUUCUGCUGCUGCAUUGAGACAGUGAGUGAUCUGGCAUGUGUGCUGGAGAUGUGCC
This is a long non-coding RNA of Scomber japonicus (chub mackerel), 352 nucleotides long. RefSeq lists it as uncharacterized. Lineage: Eukaryota; Metazoa; Chordata; Actinopteri; Scombriformes; Scombridae. The record is from RefSeq and is a predicted model, not a curated record. The transcript is spliced from 4 exons.